Rana temporaria (common frog) is the source of this 1423-nucleotide long non-coding RNA. RefSeq lists it as uncharacterized. Lineage: Eukaryota; Metazoa; Chordata; Amphibia; Anura; Ranidae. The record is from RefSeq and is a predicted model, not a curated record. The transcript is spliced from 2 exons.
UGAACCAACAAUGCACAAGCUUAAAGGAACCCAUUUAGAAAAUAAAAAACAAACCUUUACAACCCCUUCAAACUUCUGAACUCCCCAGAAGUGGGUUUACACAUUUGGAGCUCCCAUCCAACGUGUCACUAUGUUAAUUUUCAUUUCUUAAAAAUUGACCAGGCUGUUUUUGAACAGUAAACCCAGCCUGGGGCGGACCCAGUAAACGGUAGCUGUGUAAUUAUUUUAUAUUUUUAUUGCUGUAUUUCAUUGGCAUAGAAGGAUAAUAGAACAGGGUGGCAAUAAUCCUUCCCAAAAUCUAAUUCUAGGAAGUCCUUUCUCAACCCUAACCAUGAAUAUAAACCAGAGGUAUUGAAUUAAAAUUUACAGAGGUAUGGUCAUUAAAAUUUUCAUCCAGCACAGGUCUGAGUCUCAUGUUUGUGCUAUGACUCUGAUCCUUCAUAUCACAGCCCCACCCCUUACAUUACAGUCUGUCCUUUACAUCAGUGUCUUCAGUCCCCCCCAUUAUUCCAUAGUGCCCCCUUUUACAUUGUACCACCUUCACAUCAGAGCAUCCCCUUUUGCAAUACAGCCCCUUUACAUCACAGUGCCCUCUUGCAUCCAAGUCCUCCUAUUUUACAAUACAGUGACCCUUUAUAUCACAGUGCUUCUUUUACUUCAUUGUCCUCUGUCCUCCCUUCACAUCACAGCCCCCCCCUCCUCCUUACAUCACAGACCUCCACCCUUUACAACAGUGUCCUCGGCUUCCACCUCACAUCACAGUCCGCUUCCUCUUCACAUCAGUGUCUUCUGUCAACCCUUUAAAUCACAGCCCCUUCACAGGCCCCUCUUACUUGAAUCCCAGCCCCCUUCCUUGCACCCCGACCCCUGUCCCCUUCACAGGCCCCCCUUACUUGAAUCCCAGCCCCCUUCCUUGCAACCCGACGCCAGUCCCCUUCACAGGCCCCCCUUACUUGAAUCCCAGCCCCCUUCCUUGCAACCCGACGCCAGUCCCCUUCACAGGUCCCCCUUGCUUGAAUCCCAGCCCUCUUCCUUGCACCCCGACCCCAGUCCCCUUUAUAGUCCCCCUUACUUGAAUACCAGCCCCCUUCCUUGCACCCCGACCCCAGUCCCCUUUAUAGUCCCCCUUACUUGAAUACCAGCCCCCUUCCUUGCAACCCGACGCCAGUCCCCUUCAUAGGUCCCCCUUGCUUGAAUCCCAGCCCCCUUCCUUGCACCCUGACCCCAGUCCCCUUUAUAGCCACCCUUACUUGCAUCUCGGUCUCCUUCACCACCCCAGUCCCCUUACAGAUCUACCCCCAACCUUACCAGUUCUACCUUAAUCAGCAGGGAAAAAGCAGAAGGCACGGCAUGCUUGGACAGAGGGCAGGAGCUCCCCAUUCCCUUUUCGUGUUAACAGGUGAUUGGUUGCUAGGAUCAGCCC